AUGGCUCAGGAUGAACGCUGGCGGCGUGCCUAACACAUGCAAGUCGAACGAAGCAUACGGACUGGAGAUUCGUCGAAGGACCGUAUGACUUAGUGGCGGACGGGUGAGUAAUGUAUGAGCAACCUGCCUUUCAGAGGGGGACAACAGUUGGAAACGACUGCUAAUACCGCGUAACGUAUCGUGAGGGCAUCCUCGUGAUACCAAAGGAGCAAUCCGCUGAAAGAUGGGCUCAUAUCUGAUUAGCUUGUUGGCGGGGUAACGGCCCACCAAGGCGACGAUCAGUAGCCGGACUGAGAGGUUGAACGGCCACAUUGGGACUGAGAUACGGCCCAGACUCCUACGGGAGGCAGCAGUGGGGAAUAUUGGGCAAUGGGCGAAAGCCUCGACCCAGCAACGCCGCGUGAAGGAAGGAGGUCUUCGGAUUGUAAACUUCUUUUAUGAGGGACGAAGGACGUGACGGUACCUCAUGAAUAAGCCACGGCUAACUACGUGCCAGCCGCCGC
Molecule: ribosomal RNA, 503 nt
Filed under: uncultured bacterium
Lineage: Bacteria
Description: bacterial SSU rRNA
Rfam family: Bacterial small subunit ribosomal RNA
Source: RNAcentral